RNAcentral lists this ribosomal RNA (255 nucleotides) under uncultured bacterium. Its description in RNAcentral is "partial 16S ribosomal RNA". It matches the Rfam family "Bacterial small subunit ribosomal RNA", at positions 524 to 776 of the family's 1533-position model. The record is from RNAcentral.
GACAGAGGGUGCAAACGUUGUUCGGAAUUACUGGGCGUAAAGCGCGUGUAGGCUGCUUCGCAAGUCGGAUGUGAAAGCCCUGGGCUCAACCCAGGAAGUGCAUUCGAAACUGCAGAGCUGGAGUCCUGGAGAGGAAGGCGGAAUUCCGUCGGUGUAGAGGUGAAAUUCGUAGAUAUCGAGAGGAACACCGGUGGCGAAGGCGGCCUUCUGGACAGUGACUGACGCUGAGACGCGAAAGCGUGGGGAGCAAACAGG